This is a long non-coding RNA of Melanotaenia boesemani (Boeseman's rainbowfish), 133 nucleotides long. RefSeq lists it as uncharacterized. NCBI's taxonomy places the organism in Eukaryota, Metazoa, Chordata, Actinopteri, Atheriniformes, Melanotaeniidae. The transcript is spliced from 3 exons. The record is from RefSeq and is a predicted model, not a curated record.
GAUAUUUUGGAGUCUGCCAUUUUUUACCACUAAUGCUGCAAGCACCUGCACCUUGGAGUCACCUGCAAAAGACUGCUGCCUUUCCUGUCGGUAUCCGCCAGUGCAAAGGCUCUGUAGUACAGGGGAGUGAUCA